RNAcentral lists this ribosomal RNA (491 nucleotides) under uncultured bacterium. RNAcentral describes it as "partial 16S ribosomal RNA". It matches the Rfam family "Bacterial small subunit ribosomal RNA", at positions 29 to 506 of the family's 1533-position model. The record is from RNAcentral.
AGUGAACGCUGGCGGUAGGCCUAACACAUGCAAGUCGAACGGCAGCACAGUAAGAGCUUGCUCUUACGGGUGGCGAGUGGCGGACGGGUGAGGAAUACAUCGGAAUCUACUUUUUCGUGGGGGAUAACGUAGGGAAACUUACGCUAAUACCGCAUACGACCUACGGGUGAAAGCAGGGGAUCUUCGGACCUUGCGCGAUUGAAUGAGCCGAUGUCGGUUUAGCUAGGUGGCGGGGUAAAGGCCCACCAAGGCGACGAUCCGUAGCUGGUCUGAGAGGAUGAUCAGCCACACUGGAACUGAGACACGGUCCAGACUCCUACGGGAGGCAGCAGUGGGGAAUAUUGGACAAUGGGCGCAAGCCUGAUCCAGCCAUACCGCGUGGGUGAAGAAGGCCUUCGGGUUGUAAAGCCCUUUUGUUGGGAAAGAAAAGCAGCAGGUUAAUACCCCGCUGUUCUGACUGUACCCAAAGAAUAAGCACCGGCUAACUUCGU